CCUACGGGUGGCAGCAGUGAGGAAUAUUGGUCAAUGGGCGGAAGCCUGAACCAGCCAAGUCGCGUGAGGGAAUAAGGCCCUACGGGUCGUAAACCUCUUUUGCCGGGGAGCAAGGGCCGGGACGCGUCCCGGCCCGGAGAGUACCCGGAGAAAAAGCAUCGGCUAACUCCGUGCCAGCAGCCGCGGUAAUACGGAGGAUGCGAGCGUUAUCCGGAAUCAUUGGGCGUAAAGCGUUCGUAGGCGGUAUGUCAAGUCUGAUGUUAAAGCCCGGGGCUCAACUCCGGUUCGGCAUUGGAUACUGGCAAACUAGAAUGUGGUAGAGGUAAAGGGAAUUCCUGGUGGAGCGGUGAAAUGCGUAGAUAUCAGGAGGAACAUCGGUGGCGAAAGCGCUUUACUGGACCAUUAUUGACGCUGAGGAACGAAAGCCAGGGGAGCAAAUGGGAUUAGAUACCCCUGUAGUC
RNAcentral lists this ribosomal RNA (461 nucleotides) under uncultured bacterium. RNAcentral's name for it is "partial 16S ribosomal RNA". It matches the Rfam family "Bacterial small subunit ribosomal RNA", at positions 338 to 795 of the family's 1533-position model. The record is from RNAcentral.